RNAcentral lists this long non-coding RNA (346 nucleotides) under Ananas comosus (pineapple). RNAcentral's name for it is "long non-coding RNA (ACOM_LNC026145)". Lineage: Eukaryota; Viridiplantae; Streptophyta; Magnoliopsida; Poales; Bromeliaceae. The record is from RNAcentral.
UUUCAACAUUUUCUAAUUUUUUUUUCUAUUUUCAUCCCAAAACUUUGAUUUUUGUUCUAUUUUCUCUCUAAAUCAAAUUAACACAACCCAAACUCCUCCAACACACCUUAAACACUUCCAAGACCUUCCCAUAUUGGGAAUUCUAAAUUUAUCUUAUAAAAAGGUUAAACAUUGGAGCACAAUCAUUCUUCUAAAUUUUUAUUUUCUUCCAACUAUUUUUUAAUUUAUUCAUACCUCUUGAAAUCUUACUGCAUCACCCCGGAUACUUUCUAAUCCACUUUUAUUACCCCCAAACACUUUAAAUGCAACCUUUAAUCGCUAUUUUACUAAAUUUUUCUGAAGUUUU